AACGAACGCUGGCGGCAUGCCUAACACAUGCAAGUCGAACGAGACCUUCGGGUCUAGUGGCGCACGGGUGCGUAACGCGUGGGAACCUGCCCUUAGGUUCGGAAUAACUCCCCGAAAGGGGUGCUAAUACCGGAUAAUGUCUUCGGACCAAAGAUUUAUCGCCUUUGGAUGGGCCCGCGUUGGAUUAGCUAGUUGGUAGGGUAAAAGCCUACCAAGGCGACGAUCCAUAGCUGGUCUGAGAGGAUGAUCAGCCACACUGAGACUGAGACACGGCCCAGACUCCUACGGGAGGCAGCAGGGGGGAAUAUUGGACAAUGGGCGAAAGCCUGAUCCAGCAAUGCCGCGUGAGUGAUGAAGGCCUUAGGGUUGUAAAGCUCUUUUACCCGGGAUGAUAAUGACAGUACCGGGAGAAUAAGCUCCGGCUAACUCCGUG
RNAcentral lists this ribosomal RNA (433 nucleotides) under uncultured bacterium. Its description in RNAcentral is "partial 16S ribosomal RNA". It matches the Rfam family "Bacterial small subunit ribosomal RNA", at positions 29 to 507 of the family's 1533-position model. The record is from RNAcentral.